This 246-nucleotide ribosomal RNA is filed under the name uncultured bacterium. RNAcentral's name for it is "partial 16S ribosomal RNA". It matches the Rfam family "Bacterial small subunit ribosomal RNA", at positions 527 to 772 of the family's 1533-position model. The record is from RNAcentral.
GUAGGGGGCAAGCGUUAUCCGGAAUUACUGGGUGUAAAGGGAGCGCAGACGGCAGUGCAAGUCUGGAGUGAAAGCCCGUGGCUUAACUACGGGACUGCUCUGGAAACUGUGCAGCUAGAGUGCAGGAGAGGCAGGCGGAAUUCCUAGUGUAGCGGUGAAAUGCGUAGAUAUUAGGAGGAACACCGGUGGCGAAGGCGGCCUGCUGGACUGUAACUGACGUUGAGGCUCGAAAGCGUGGGGAGCAAA